This 354-nucleotide ribosomal RNA is filed under the name Planiphalangodus robustus. Its description in RNAcentral is "partial large subunit ribosomal RNA". The stretch from base 73 to 354 matches the Rfam family "Bacterial large subunit ribosomal RNA", at positions 2046 to 2610 of the family's 2925-position model. Lineage: Eukaryota; Metazoa; Arthropoda; Arachnida; Opiliones; Gonyleptidae. The record is from RNAcentral.
UUUUUUAAUUGGGAACUGGAAUGAAUGGUAAUUACUAAGAAGAGAGUUUUAUUUAGUAAAUUUUGAAUUUAAAUUAAAAGUAAAAAUGCUUUUAUUAAUCUUUGGGACGAGAAGACCCUAGAAGCUAAAAAAUUAUAAAUUUUUUAAUUGGGGCAAUUUUUGAAAAAAUGAAUUUUUGGAUACAUAUGAAAGUAAUGGAAAGGAAGUUACUCUAGGGAUAACAGCGUAAUUUAAUUUACAAGUUCUUAUUAAUAAUUAGGUUUGCGACCUCGAUGUUGAAUUAAUACUUAUUUUUGGUGAAGAAGUUUUAAAAAUUUAGUCUGUUCGACUAUUAAAAUAUUACGUGAUCUGAGU